AUGACUAACGUAAGGAGCACCCAUCCUCACUUUGUGUGCUCCAUGAUUCCUAAUGAGUCAAAGACUCCAGGUCUGAUGGAGAACUUCCUGGUCAUCCACCAGCUCAGGUGUAACGGUGUGCCGGAGGGUAUCAGUAUCUGCA
Molecule: long non-coding RNA, 142 nt
Organism: Etheostoma spectabile (orangethroat darter)
Lineage: Eukaryota; Metazoa; Chordata; Actinopteri; Perciformes; Percidae
Exons: 2
Source: RefSeq, a predicted model, not a curated record